Molecule: small nuclear RNA, 107 nt
Filed under: Myotis brandtii (Brandt's bat)
Lineage: Eukaryota; Metazoa; Chordata; Mammalia; Chiroptera; Vespertilionidae
Source: RNAcentral
GUGCUCGCUUCUGUAGCACAUAUACUAAAAUUGGAAUGAUACAGAGUAGAUUAACAUGGCCCCUGUGCAAGGAUGACACACAAAUUCAUGAAGCGUUUCAUAUUAAA